CUUGAGCAGAGAGUUGCUCAUUGGAAUACUACAAUAUUCAUAUAUUUUACUGGAGCUUCUAAACGGAUUCCUUCACCAUGUCCAACCAGCCUCUGCCACUCUCUCAGGAGACUUUAGCCCAAUUCAAUCGUUCCCAGUCCACAGAACCAGAACCCCCAGGACCUCCUAGGCGUCGUCUGGCCUCCAUUUCCACUCGACGAAGCUCUAAAGACCAGUCUAAAGACCACCCGCACCCCAGACCACUGUUCAUCCGGGCCAUGACGGGUCUUUCCUCCGAGUCCUCGUUCAUGAGUCCCAGCGUGAGCACCUCUCACAUGUCCAUGGGCAAACGCU
Danio rerio (zebrafish) is the source of this 333-nucleotide non-coding RNA. NCBI's taxonomy places the organism in Eukaryota, Metazoa, Chordata, Actinopteri, Cypriniformes, Danionidae. The record is from Ensembl.